RNAcentral lists this long non-coding RNA (6343 nucleotides) under Sus scrofa (pig). RNAcentral's name for it is "lncRNA (ENSSSCG00040024123.1)". Lineage: Eukaryota; Metazoa; Chordata; Mammalia; Artiodactyla; Suidae. The record is from RNAcentral.
GUUCGAUCCCUGGCCUUGCUCAGUGGGUUAAGGAUCCAAUGUUGCUGUGAGCUGUGGUGUAGGUUGCGGGUAGGAUCCCAUGUUGCUGUGUCUGUGGCGUAGGCCGGCAGCUGCAGCUCUGAUUCAAUCCCUAGCCCCCAUAUGCUGUGGGUGCGGCCUAGAAGACAAAAAAUAAAUAAAUAAAUAAAUAAAUAAAACAACCAAAAAAAUCUUUUUUUAAGCUGGCAUAUCACAUACAGUUCAAUUGAGGCGUAGAUUUACUGGGAGAGAAAAUUGCUUUGAAAAGGGAGAUUUUGUUUCUUGCAUUGAUUUUUAUCUGUGAUGCUAGUUUUAUGUUUUGGAAAAUUGGGAGCAAUAUUGGAUUAUCUGUGGUUGGUGACCCUAAAACCAGCAACACGCUGAGACCAUGGAUCUUGCGGAAGGAAAGGCUUCUGGAGAGGUCUGUCCCAGGGUGCUGCUGCCUAUAGCCCCCAGUACCCUGCAGUGGGGGUGCUGCUUGAUUGAUUGGAAAUUUUAAAAAUCUGUGCUAAGGCAGAUGGGAGAAAUAGAGGAAGUUAGAUGAUUGUCAACCCGACUAAUGAUGUCUUGCAGGAAAGCUUCCCUCUGGGAGGGCCUUUUUGCUUUGUCAUCUGUGCUGUGCAGAGAUGUUUAUUGAGCACAUGACCCGGCUCUGAGCUCAGAGAGCAUCACCCCAUAUAGCAGGUUCCAGAAUUUGGUCACAAGACACAUGCAUGGCCAAUUGCAUCCCCUUGUGCUAAGCUUGGAAAGUCUAAUCCCCUGGGGUGCUUUCCAACGGUAGAAAUGUUGAACUGUGCUGUAUCCUAUAUCAGUUUUCCUUCUAGAACUGUAGAACCAGAGAACUAAAUGCUCUGUGUUGCUGACUUUUUUCUCUAAGUGGUUCUCAAACUGAAGCCUGCCUCAGAACCCCUGGAGGGCUUGGGCAAGCACAGAUGGCUGGGUUCCACCCCGGGUACUUCUGAUUAGGUGGGUCUGGGGCGGGGCCUGCAAGUUCCCAGGUGAUGCUCCUGCUACCGAUCAGGGGGCUACACUUGGAGAACUGCCAAGGAACUGGCAAAUUCAGUGGGUCUGAGGUUCAUGUCUUCUACCGUCCCACGGAAGCUCUACUCCCCCAUAUCUUCAGGCUUUCACAGCUUGAUCCUUCUCUCUGGGAUGUUCCCUGUUCUCUGGAACCUUCUGUCAGGACUCCAACUUCGGUUUGAUUAAUUGGAACCAGGGUGCUGCGUCAGCAUCACUAACAUUUGCCUGCUUUCUGCUGAGCCCUUGGCUCUGGCUCAGGUUCCUUUCAUCAGGUGUCUGAUCAUCACCACAACCCCCUGUGCUAACGUGGGUGGUCUCCCUUCCAACACAAAGUCCAAUGUGUUGAGGGGUCUCAAAUUCACAGCCUUGGGUGCUUGGCCACUGUUUUCCCCUUUGGCUCAGAAGCCCUUUGUAGGAGUGUUUGCGCCCAGUGUGAGGAUGCUUGGAGGGUGGGAUGCAAGAGAAAAUAAAUGGAUGCCUGUGUGGUGAGAUACCUGACACUGGUCAGCUGGCUAAGAGAUGGAAAAGAAUCUGGUUAGAAGAAUGUUCAUGGCACUACCCUUGUCAAGUGUUAGGAUGGCCCUUUCCAACGGUUAUAUUUUGCUCUCCUCUCUUUGCCUUGAAAGUUGCAGAGGCUGGAGGAGAGGUAACUCCCUCUGUUUCUGAGAGGGGAUGAUUACAGUUCUCCCCUGUUCCUCCCCCAACUCCCCAGAGCCUUUCCUGGGGGACAGAGAAUUGGGCGUCCUUUGUUUUCUCUUUUUAGGACCGCACCUGCAGCAUGUAGAAAUUCCCAAGCUAUGGGUCGAAUUGGAGCUUCAGCUGCUGUCCUGCACCAUAGGAACACUAGAUCUGAGCCGCCUCUGUGACCUAAGGCGCAGCACCAGAUCCUUAACCCACUGAGUGAGGCCAGGUAUGGAACCUGCAUCCUCAGGGACACUGUGUCAGGUUCUUAACCCUCUGAGCCACAAUGGGAACUCCCAGAAUCAGGCAUCCUUGCCUAAUUUGAGGUCCUGGAUGUGAAAUGUGCCUCAGGAUAGGGAGUGGAGGCACUGCCUUCCUUGGGAGUCACGUAAGUUUUUGCUUAUUUUUGCCUGCCCUGUUGGGGACCUUUCAGGGUGACAGAAAGCCAAGGUUUUGAGGCCAAACAGCCUGUCCACAACCUGCUUCUGCCUCAAUGAGCUGCAGUUUAGACUCUUGGGGAAAUUGUCGUGCAGGAGGUAAAACUGCUCCAUGAAAGCAGGCAGUGUGUCAAGUACCCUGGUGACAUCCCGGGUCCCACCCAGCCACUCGCAGACAGACACGCAGUUGGAGAUUCAGUUGGGGGAGGGGGCGGCCCCCAGUGGAUGGCCAAGAGGUGAUACACGGGUGAAGUGGAGUAAGGGCUCCAUGUGACUCAGUUCUUUCCAAGCAACCCCCCCCUUUUUUUUUUUUAACAGUUUAAUGACUCUUUUUAAAAAUUUGUUUACCUUUCCCAUUAACAUUUUUUGCCCCGUCUAGGCCUCAGCCAGGGAGAACUCUAACCUACCUUUUCCUUCUAAACUGCAACAUUUAAGAAAAUUAGCUAGUGGCUCACCCCUUCCAGGCAAAUUGAUAGGAUUAAAUGACUUAAUGUUUUCUUCCUCUGAUGCAAGGGCUUACUUACCUUUCCAACCGACAUAUUUUAAUAAUUACGGUUUCAUGUUUCUGGGGAUCCACAUUCAUGUGAUUUAUCUCCCUCUGAGAAUGUAAGCCUCUUAGGAAUGGGGGCCAUGAGUCUUUCCUGACACACAGCUGACUUUUAUAAUAACAACUGAGUUUCUGGUUCCUGUGUGGUUUAUGCUUCCUUGUGUAAUUUGCUGUCAUUCUUGGGUCUCGCUGGUUUUUCCUUAAUCCCUGGUCUUGGUUGUUUGCUUUUAUAUUCCUAAGUGCUCAACCUCACAGAGCCUUAAUGUUAUGUAAAUAUUUAUUAAACGAGUGUCACAGAAUCUUACCGGGGGCUGUAUUCACAUAUCCCACUAGCAUGGGCUCUCUUUUUCUUGUGUUCAAGAUGCAGAACUCUGGAGGAAUCAAGAGCAAAUCCCUCUCUUUAGGUGUUAACAAUUUCUAAAGUUCAGGGUUUUUUGUUGUUUCUUUUUUGGCUGCCCUGAGGUAUAUGAAGUACCAGGGCCAGGGGUCAGACCCAAGCCACAGUUGUGGCAACACUAGAUUCUUGACUCACUGUGCUGGGCCAGGGAUUGAACUUGCGUCCCAGGAUUCUAGAGAUGCUGCCAAUCCCGUUAUGCCACAGUGGGAACUCCAAGGUUCAGCUUUUAUAAGCUUGGAAAGGGAACUUUUCCCUUCCUCCUGACUCUGGGGCAUUGCCGGCCCCCUUGGUCUAGGACUCUGUCCCAUGGUCAUUUAAGGUUGUGCCUGUCCCUGGAGGUCAGGAGUCAUGCUGUACAAACACAUCACCUGGGACCUGGCCUGGAGAGGGCACUUCAUACUUAUUUGUGGAAUGAAUCGAAACUGCUGUGAGCCAGGGUGGAGGAGCUGUUCAGCACAUGUGUGAGAAAAGAGAGAGGAGAAACAGAAUUUUGUGGGCAAAGCAAGAGAGACAGCGAGACAGUGGAAUUCAGUAGGUCAGCUGAGACCUCUUGGGUGGUCGAGGGAUGCAUUUCCAUUGGUCUGUUUCAUCAACUCUAAGCACAUUAUUUUUGAAGAUCACAUUAGAGUAAAUACUUGUUAAAACUGUAACAUUGAUGUCUGGUUAACUGUCCUUUAUUGAAGUGAAAUGAAAACUGUGUCCAGGCCCUCAGCUCAGGCAGAGCAGGUAACCUGGCCAUGCGGCUCUCAGGGUCCUUCCUUCUUGCUCCAAAUAUGCACACAACUUGCAUAUUCCUCUCUCAGCCAUUUGCCCAACUUACCUAUGGCCAACCAGACAUUUCUUUAAAAGUGAUUGNUUUUUUUUUUUAGGGCCACACCUGUGACAUAUGGAAGUUCCCAGGCUAAUCAGAGCUGUAGCUGCCGGCCUACACCACAGCCACAGCUACGCCAGAUCCGAGCCAUGUCUGUGACCUAAACCACCGCUCUCGGCAAUGCCAGAUCCUCAACCCACAGAGAGGUCAGGAAUCGAACCUUCAACCUCACGGUUCCUAGUUGGAUUCAUUUCCGCUGCAUAACGACGGGAACUCCGAUUGUUUUAUUUUUUAAAUUGAAGUAUAGUUGAUUUACAGUGUUGUGUUAGUUUUAGUUGUAUAGCAAAGUGAUUCAGUUAUACAUACAGACAUAAAUAUUUUGUAUACUUUUUCAUAUUCUUUUUCCUCAUAGGUUAUCAUAAGAUAUUGAAUAUAGUUCCCAGUGCUAUACAGUAGGUCCUUGUUGGUUAUCUGUUUUAUAUAUAGUAGUGUGUAUCUGUUAAUCCCAAACUCCUAAUUUAUCCCUCCCCUCCCCCUUUCCCUCUUGGUACCCAUAAGUUUGUUUUCUACGUCUGUUUUAUAAAUAAAUUCAUUUGCAUCUUUUUUAGAUUCCACAUAUAAGUUAUAUGAUAUUUGUCUUUGUCUGGCUUACUUCACCUAGUAUGAUGAUCUCUAGGUCCAUUCAAGUUGCUCCAAAUGACAUUAUUUCAUUCUUUUUUAUGGCCAAGUAAUAGUCCAUUGUAUACACAUACCAUUUCUUCUUUAUCCAUUCCUCUGUUGGACAUUUAGGUUGCUUCCAUGUGUUGGCUAUUGUAAAUAGUGCUGCAGUGAACAUUGGGGUGCAUGUAUCUUUUUGAAUUAUGGUGUUCUCCAGAUAGAUGCGAAGGAGUGGGGUUGCUGGGUCAUAUGCUAGUUCUAUUUUUAGUCUUGAGGAACCUCCAUACUAUUCUCCAUAGUGGCUGCACUGAUUUACAUUCCCACCCACAGUGUAGGAGGGCACCCCAAAGGUACAUUUUCACACAGAAAAUGUAAUGAAGCCCCUAAACGCUAGAACUCAUCUUUGAUAUCAGAAGCAGGUAAGAGGGUGUGUGCGCUUCCUGGUGAGAACAAACUUGCAGGUCUUAGUGCCUUCCUGGGUAUGAGAUCUCACUCCUCAAAAGCUCAUGUACCUGCAGCCAUCGUCUGUGAGCUCCGUUGACCAAGGAAAAGUAUCCUUUGGGUUUUAUACCUGUAUUGUGCCUGUGCUGAAUCCUCUGAUGUACAGUCUGUGGAAUAGCAAAGUCAGAUUUGCUCUGAAAAAAAUUCUGGACUUUGCAAAAUGUAUAGGAACAGAAUCAAUAUCAGGAUGGCAUGUCAGUUCCCUCACAGAUGUUAUGUAUUGUCUUUAUUGUUUUUGGAAAAUCAGUGACACUUGCCCAUAUUACACUUAUCCCAAAUUCUUUUCCAUGACACUUCUUGAACCUAUAUUGUGAUUAUUUAUAAAAUCAGAAACCAUGAUUAUGAAUAAAAUUGUAAAAAAAAAAAGCUUCAAAGCUAAUCUAAUACAUUUUGAAACUUUGCUCCAAAGUUUUUUUUUUUUUAAUCAAAUUCACUCUAGAUUGGAAGAUUGACUGUGAUAGCAGUGUUAACAACUUGCUCUUUUUGGUCUUAUUAGGUCAUUUACCUCCUUUGAACAACACGUUUCUUUCUUUCUUUUCUUUCUUCUUUUUUUUUUUUGUCUUUUUGCCAUUUUUUGAGUCGCUCCCACGGCAUAUGGAGGUUCCCAGGCUAGGGGUCGAAUCGGAGCCGUAGCCACCAGCCUAUUCCAGAGCCACAGCAACGUGGGAUCCUAGCCUUGUCUGCAACCUACACCACAGCUCAUGGCAACGCUGGAUCCUUAACCUAUUGAGCAAGGCCAGGAAUUGAACCUGCAGCCUCAUGGCUCCUAGUCGGAUUUGUUAACCACCGUGCCACGAUGGGAACUCCAACAACACAUUUCUUGCAUUUUCUCAUCCAUGGCUGUAAAAUGAAAGGACGUGUGGACCAUUAAGAAAGGAGGAGAAACUCAUGAGAAAAAUUUAAUAGGGUCAGUGAUGAUUUCAGUUGAUCUUAUAGUCUGAAAUGAUGGUACCAGAAUCUGAACAUCUUCUAUUUGAGAAUUAGGAUCCUUUCACCAUGGUUUUGCGUGCUGCCUUUGUUGAUCCUCACCAGAUCUGCUGAGAAAGGAGGGGAGAGAGUUCCUAUUGUGGCGCAGUAGUAAUGAACCUGACUAGUAUCCAUGAGGAUGUGGGUUCGAUUCCUGGCCUUGCUCAGUGGGCUAAGACUACGGCAUCAACCCAAGCUGUGGUGUAGGGUACAGACCUGGCUUGGAUCCUGUGUUGCUAUGGUGGUGGCUUAGGUCGGCAGCUGCAGCUCGGAUUCAACCCCUAGCUUAGGAACUUCCAUGUGCCAAG